AUCCAGCUGACAAGUCCCGAAUAGGAUGAAACGCACGUCCUGGAU
RNAcentral lists this non-coding RNA (45 nucleotides) under Schistosoma mattheei. The record is from RNAcentral. Lineage: Eukaryota; Metazoa; Platyhelminthes; Trematoda; Strigeidida; Schistosomatidae.